This 776-nucleotide ribosomal RNA is filed under the name uncultured Neocallimastigales. Its description in RNAcentral is "partial large subunit ribosomal RNA". It matches the Rfam family "Eukaryotic large subunit ribosomal RNA", at positions 26 to 639 of the family's 3401-position model. The record is from RNAcentral. Lineage: Eukaryota; Fungi; Neocallimastigomycota; Neocallimastigomycetes; Neocallimastigales.
CGCAUCUGUGCAUGCAGCAUAUCAAUAAGCGGAGGAAAAGAAACUGAACAAGGAUUCCCUUAGUAACGGCGAGUGAAGCGGGAAGAGCUCAAAUUUGAAAUCUUCAAGGUUUUACCUUGACGAAUUGUAGUUUAAAGAAGUGUUUUCUGUUGAAGUUUUGGUAAAAGUUCUUUGGAAUAGGACAUCAUAGAGGGUGAGAAUCCCGUAUUUGACCAUUAUUUUCAGCUGUGUGAUACACUUUCAAAGAGUCGGAUUGUUUGGGAAUGCAGUCCAAAAUGGGUGGUAAAUUUCAUCUAAAGCUAAAUAUUGGCGAGAGACCGAUAGCGAACAAGUACCGUGAGGGAAAGAUGAAAAGAACUUUGAAAAGAGAGUUAAACAGUACGUGAAAUUGUCAAAAGGGAAGCGUUUGACACCAGUGUUGUUUUCUCGAAAAUCAAUUAAAAAGAGUUUAGAUUUUGUUGUGUAUUGACCUUAACAGCUUGCAUUUCAGUUUUCUUGCUUUUUUUAAUGCACUUUUCGUUUAACAAGUCAACAUCAGUUUCUUUUGUUGUAAAAAGGUCAUUGGAAGGUGGCUUUCUUUUCGGAGAAAGUGUUUAUAGCCUUUGACUCCUGCAAUCGGAGAGACUGAGGUCUGCAGCGUAGAUCCUUCGGGGUUAGAUACAUUUGUGCUAAGUUAUAGCUUUUUAUAGACAACUUGUUGACUAUGAUUAGUCUUGUAGCUUACUCGCUUAUGCUAUUUUACCUACGCUUAGGAUGUUGACGCGCGUGUGUGCGUG